UUGCUUCAGCAGCACAUAUACUAAAAUUGAAAUGAUACAGAGAAGAUUAGCAUGGCCCUGCACAAGAUUGACAUGCAAAUUUGUGAAGCAUUCCAUAUUUUU
Molecule: small nuclear RNA, 102 nt
Organism: Cercocebus atys (sooty mangabey)
Lineage: Eukaryota; Metazoa; Chordata; Mammalia; Primates; Cercopithecidae
Source: Ensembl